This is a non-coding RNA of Oryza meridionalis, 115 nucleotides long. NCBI's taxonomy places the organism in Eukaryota, Viridiplantae, Streptophyta, Magnoliopsida, Poales, Poaceae. The record is from Rfam.
GCGAAUGAUGAUAUUGUCUGCAAAAUGGAUGCCCUGUGGACCCAAGUCCCUGUUUCAGGGAGAACCUACUUGACAAAGCAGUGGAUAACAUGACAUCAACAGAUAAAUCUGAUGC